CCUCCUUUAGAGUUUUGGAACCUGGCUCAGAUUGAACGCUGGCGGCAGGCCUAACACAUGCAAGUCGAGCGGAAACGAGUUAUCUGAACCUUCGGGGAACGAUAACGGCGUCGAGCGGCGGACGGGUGAGUAAUGCCUAGGAAAUUGCCUUGAUGUGGGGGAUAACCAUUGGAAACGAUGGCUAAUACCGCAUAAUGCCUACGGGCCAAAGAGGGGGACCUUCGGGCCUCUCGCGUCAAGAUAUGCCUAGGUGGGAUUAGCUAGUUGGUGAGGUAAUGGCUCACCAAGGCGACGAUCCCUAGCUGGUCUGAGAGGAUGAUCAGCCACACUGGAACUGAGACACGGUCCAGACUCCUACGGGAGGCAGCAGUGGGGAAUAUUGCACAAUGGGCGCAAGCCUGAUGCAGCCAUGCCGCGUGUAUGAAGAAGGCCUUCGGGUUGUAAAGUACUUUCAGCAGUGAGGAAGGGGGUGUCGUUAAUAAGCGGCAUCUCUGACGUAG
Molecule: ribosomal RNA, 500 nt
Filed under: Vibrio pelagius
Lineage: Bacteria; Pseudomonadati; Pseudomonadota; Gammaproteobacteria; Vibrionales; Vibrionaceae
Description: bacterial SSU rRNA
Rfam family: Bacterial small subunit ribosomal RNA
Source: RNAcentral